RNAcentral lists this ribosomal RNA (155 nucleotides) under Pseudoalteromonas denitrificans DSM 6059. RNAcentral describes it as "16S rRNA. Bacterial SSU". It matches the Rfam family "Bacterial small subunit ribosomal RNA", at positions 1 to 149 of the family's 1533-position model. The record is from RNAcentral. Lineage: Bacteria; Pseudomonadati; Pseudomonadota; Gammaproteobacteria; Alteromonadales; Pseudoalteromonadaceae.
UUUAAUUGAAGAGUUUGAUCAUGGCUCAGAUUGAACGCUGGCGGCAGGCCUAACACAUGCAAGUCGAGCGGUAACAGAGGUAGCUUGCUAUCUGCUGACGAGCGGCGGACGGGUGAGUAAUGCUUGGGAAUAUGCCUUUAGGUGGGGGACAACAG